GCAAUGGAUUGGAUGAAUAUUUUCCUUCUCUUGAUAUGUUGUUGCAAAAAUUGUAAGUUCAAGUCAUUGUUGUUAUUCACUUUAUUAUGUAAGUGACUUUCUUAUUGUUGAACAUUAUGCAUACAUAUAUUCUCUUUGAUAGGGUGCAUCUCAAAAUACAGUUUGUGAUGAAUUUAUGUUAUCUAUUGUCAGCUUCCAACCCUCACAUCAAAGGGAUCUUUUAUCCCAGCUUCAUCAGGUUUACGGAACGUGCCAACACAUCUUAGAUUCGGGUAAUUUAUUUAUAUACCACUACCUAAUAUGGGAUGAGUAAAUAUGAAUAUACUUGAGAUUAGUGAAAACAAUUUUUGCAAGCCUCUUAUUGUAUUGCAAAAUAUAGAAGACAUGUUUUUACCAACUUCAUUUUUGUGUAAAAAGUUGUUCCCAAUUUUCUUACCUUAAAUUCACAUUAGGAUUAUAAAUUAACAUUAAAGCCCUAAGCAAGAUUUACAAAACUCUGACCAAGUUCAUCGAUAUCCCAUUCACACAAAUCCUCUCGGCCAGUUCUAUCUCCAUGACAAACACACAGUGAAAUCAUUAUACAUUCUAAUCAUUGUUCUUAGCUUUGUUUUCUCUUUAAUUAGUAGAGUUGCCUACGUCAUGGUUGUUCCCUUAAAUGUUAUAUUUUCCUCAACUCUUCGAGUAGGUUGAGGAGAUUAAAGAGUUCAUAGUUGGUGGUGAAUCUUUUCUAUACACAAUUAACUAAAACGAUCCCAUUUCUCUGUUUUAAUAUUAUUUAGUUGGAGUUUUAAUAUUCAUUGAGUUUCUGAUCUUUGCGAUUACUUCCUUGCAUGCAGAAUAGACUUCUCUUGUACACAAUGCUUUGAGUGGGUGUCUUGGCAGUUACUUGAAAGGAACUUUAUUUCACUUCUAGGUGAGUUUGAUUUUCAACCUUUUGUAGAAUAGUAUAUAGGUUAAUUGUAUUUUUACAAAUUGAAUACUACUACCUUUCUUAUAAAUAGGGUAAUUAUGCAUUUAGUUUCAUUAAUCAUACACUAGAUCUUGAAGCAUUGGAACUCAAAAUGCAAAUNNNNNNNNNNNNNNNNNNNNNNNNNNNNNNNNNNNNNNNNNNNNNNNNNNNNNNNNNNNNNNNNNNNNNNNNNNNNNNNNNNNNNNNNNNNNNNNNNNNNUCCACUGAUAGAGCAAUGCACUUUUUAAACUAAAAUUGUUCACAAAGAAGACCCUUGGUAGGAACAAAUUACUUAAAAUAAUAUAAACAGUUACAUGAGAGAGGUUGUGAAAAAUUGUCCUGAACAACAAGAUAAGGAACAUAUAUUGACACAUUCUACGAUCUAUUAAGGUAAUGCUUUGUAAGUUUUCGGGUUCACUUUUUCUGUUUGCAUUGAGUUACUUUUCUAAAUUACGCUACAACUUUAAUGUCACGUACUUUUACAAUCAUUAAAAUCAAAACUGUCAAUGAACUGGUUAUUAUUCAAUUUAGUAACAUAUCCUUAACUUUCUCAUCCUCGGGGGAGCAUUUGUUAUCCUUAGAACUAACGAUUAAAACUAUAGGUUAAGUGUGGAAUUUGUUUUAAUCAUUAAAACUAUAGCCUUUUAUUAUCCACUAUUCUUAAAAGGCCUCUCCUAGACUUAAAAAUAUGGAUUUAGCCUACAUGUUUAUUAAAAUAUUUCAAUAUUAUAGUAAAAGGUUCAGACAAAAUAUUGCAAAGAUCUAAUAAAGAACACAAAAAGAAAAACAAGAUUGUUCAUUAUGCGGCUAUACCAAAGGUAAACAUUAUCUUUUUGCUAUUUUAUUCUAGAGUUGUAUUAUUACUUUAUGGUAUUAGGAAAAAAAAUAUUUGUUUGUAUUUUCAUUAGAAUAGAAAAAGUUAUCUACGUAGAAGUGUUCCAUGAUAAUUAAAAUUUGUUUUCUGAAGUAGGAUAAUCUCUAUUCAGACUCACUCCUUGGUAGGAAUGGAUCAUAUUUACAUUUCAUAUUGUUUUAGGACAAGAGAGCUAAUAAGAUAAUAAGUACACAUCUGCGUUUCAUAUUCUUCAAAUAAAUAAGUUGGCUUAGAAAAAUCACUAUCAGUACUACUAGCUCAGAUAAGCCAUGUCUAAGGGUUUACAAAUCUGCCAUACAUGCUUAGAAACUGGCUUCCAUUUGUGUUGGUUAAUUGAUUCUGGAGCUCAAAGCUUAACAGAAGAGCUCGAAGCUCAAUAAAAAUCAGUACUUGAUUUUUCAUUGUGCAGACUUUCAUUUUCUGUUCUUACUUUAUUUCUAAUGACGUUACUGUUUAUUUUUAGUCCCUAUUUUUCUAACUAAAAUAGAUCACUAAUUACCUGACAGUAGUUCAUUUGACCCAUUGCAGACAUAUAUUUAGGUAGGCAUGUUGACUUGCUUGGUCAUUUUGUUGAAGUGAUGUGUCUAUUUGUUUGUGAUGUAGUCUUAUUAUAUAUAUCCCAAUUUGUCUAUUUCUACUAAUAAUAAGAUUGUUAAUGUUAGUAAAACCAAUCCUCCGCCGAUAUGAUUUUGACAGUACACAGUACAUACCUAAAAAUUUUAUACAAAUCAUAUUUCAAGUGCUACCUUUGUGCAUAACCCUUUGAUUUUACUAUUAAGUUCUAAAGCUGCAAAUCUUAACUAUACUCUUUAUGGAAAUUUAUGAAUUCUCCUUUGAAAGAUGAAUCAAAUUGUUUGAUUCCUUCUUUAUCGAUUGAAAAGUUUGCCAAAUUUGAAGGUAUUCCAUUCUUUUUCCACUAAUAAGUUUGGAUCCCUGCGUACUACUAAAACCAUAGAAAUCCUUUUACAUAUACUACGAUAUAUUUUGCAAUAGCUUUGGUUUUCUUUUCAUUUUCAAACAAUACAAGCUUUAUAUACCUGAACUGAAAACCAUAAUGUAAAUUUUCCUCACUAAGACAUCUAUAUGUAGGUUUGCACUUUUUCAUAAUUUUUAUAUACAACCAUAAUAUUGGGUUCUUAACCACUUCUUUUCAUUGCAGGUAAACGUUCAAAGGCUUCACCAGAUAACCAGUUUAAAAGCAAGGUAUGAUCUUAUUUUAAUUUUGAAUAAUUAUAAAAUAACCAGGAGGUG
Molecule: long non-coding RNA, 3074 nt
Filed under: Aquilegia coerulea
Lineage: Eukaryota; Viridiplantae; Streptophyta; Magnoliopsida; Ranunculales; Ranunculaceae
Description: long non-coding RNA (ACOE_LNC002318)
Source: RNAcentral